RNAcentral lists this ribosomal RNA (253 nucleotides) under uncultured bacterium. Its description in RNAcentral is "partial 16S ribosomal RNA". It matches the Rfam family "Bacterial small subunit ribosomal RNA", at positions 524 to 776 of the family's 1533-position model. The record is from RNAcentral.
UACGUAGGGUGCGAGCGUUAAUCGGAAUUACUGGGCGUAAAGCGUGCGCAGGCGGUUCGCUGUGUCCGAUGUGAAAGCCCCGGGCUUAACCUGGGAAUGGCAUUGGAAACUGGCGGGCUUGAGUGCGGCAGAGGGGGGUGGAAUUCCACGUGUAGCAGUGAAAUGCGUAGAGAUGUGGAGGAACACCGAUGGCGAAGGCAGCCCCCUGGGCUAACACUGACGCUCAGGCACGAAAGCGUGGGGAGCAAACAGG